UACAGAGGUCCCAAGCGUUGUUCGGAUUCACUGGGCGUAAAGGGUGCGUAGGUGGUCAGGUAAGUCUGAUGUGAAAGCUCUGGGCUCAACCCAGAAAUGGCAUUGGAUACUAUCUGGCUAGAGGAAUGGAGGGGGACUGGAAUACUUGGUGUAGCAGUGAAAUGCGUAGAUAUCAAGUGGAACACCAGUGGCGAAGGCGAGUCCCUGGACAUUUCCUGACACUGGGGCACGAAAGCUAGGGGAGCAAACAGG
Molecule: ribosomal RNA, 252 nt
Filed under: uncultured bacterium
Lineage: Bacteria
Description: partial 16S ribosomal RNA
Rfam family: Bacterial small subunit ribosomal RNA
Source: RNAcentral